GCUAAUGACCCAUGCCUUGACUCCUGGGAGACUAGAAACAUUAGGCAAUCAAAGCAUUUGUGCCUGAAAUGCCUCUUUCCCUUGGAGCGAUGCUGGGAGGAGUCGAUGAACUAACACCUGUGAAAUCACUUUGAGAUAUGGCUCAUUGGUGACAAGCCAGCACUCAGCAAAGAGGGGGCUUCCAUGUGAACCAGGGUUUCUGAUGCAGCCUGGCUUCCUCAGCCAUCUCUGCGUCAAUCAGCUGUCACUGCUCCUUCUCCUCAAACCACGUGAAUUUUAAAAGCCGGCACAAGCUCAUCUGGAAUUCACAUACCCAAGCCUCAAACAGACAAGGACGACGUGAAAUUGGAAAUACAGGAAGAUGGCAGGUGGCACUGCUCUCUGUGAAAAAUGAGCAUUGUGGAAACAGCCUCGCCUCUCCCCAAGAUGCCUGACAUUGUGGAUGAUUUGUAAUGCUCUCACCGAAAAGCCCUCAUCCCCAUGAACACAUUUUGAAGAUAGAAAUCAAUCUUACCCUAUGACAGGGAGAGAAAAAUCUGUUAGGAAAAAUGAAGAGGAGAAAAACCACCUAAUUCUGGGAUCCUUUCUACUAAAUAAAUGGGUUCCAGGGAACUAAGGCUGGAUCCAUAUUUUUCCCUCAGUCUUGCCAUGUACGGAGCAGCUGCAAGAGGUGAGAUUGAAGAGAGAGACUGUCUAGCCAGCCCCACCAGCUUCCAGCUUUUCCAUCUCAAUAAUUUAGGCUGGCUGCCAGCCACGGCAUUUCAUACUGGGUCAGCAUUUGCCUCUGUCAGGCAAAGAACUAAAACUCUCACAGAACCAUUCACAACUACGCACUAUGAUGCAUUGGGCAUUACUACGCAAGUAUUGGCUGCCACCAUAACCUUGGGAUAUUUGUGAUUUUUAAAAUAAGGCAGCAACACACGGAGGUUUAAUUUAACCCCCACAGCAAGAUGAAUUCUGCUUCUCAGACCUGCAGCCCCUCAAGAAUAAUGUCACCAUGAGGCACACUGGAGCCCAUAGCUGAAAAUCAUCACAGAACACAUUGCAGUAAGAAUUCAGCCAAUUUUAGAUUGAGGUUAUUAACACCCAUGUGGAAAGAGGCCUACGGGGAUACUGAAGCCAAAUGCAUUUAGCGCCAUGAUGUGUUUUCCAAUUGGGAAAGCCCCGCUCACAGCAGGUGUAAAGGCUUGUUCCACGGGGUGUCCUGUGGGGAGCAAUGCCGCCCCCUCACAGACUGGGUUCAUGAAAACUCUCCAGGGACACACAUCGAAUCUUUGCUGGUUCAGUAAAAAGCAGAAAGAAGGAAGGGAGGAAGGAAGAAAGAGAAAGAAAGGUGGGACAACCAGGAGACAGAGAGAGAAGAAACUGGGGCUUGAUGACAUGAGUGAGCACCUGAAUCAACCCUUUUCUGAAGUUAAUAAAUAACCCGUGAUCUUCUCAGUUAAAAAAAAAAAAAA
Non-coding RNA from Microcebus murinus (gray mouse lemur), 1457 nucleotides. NCBI's taxonomy places the organism in Eukaryota, Metazoa, Chordata, Mammalia, Primates, Cheirogaleidae. The record is from RefSeq and is a predicted model, not a curated record.